UACUUGGUUGAUCCUGCCAAGGAAGCACACUUAGGUCAUAGAUUAAGCCAUGCAAGUGUUAGUUCAGGUAACGAAACUGCGAAUAGCUCAUUAAUACGCUCAGAAUCUAUUUGGCGGCGACCAACAGGUCUUAAAUGGAUAGCAGCAGCAACUCUGGGUGCUAAUACAUGCGAUUGUUUCUCCAGAUGUGAAUUAUGGAGGAAAAGUUGACCUCAUCAGAGGCACGCCAUUCGACUGAGUGACCUAUCAGCUUGUACUUAGGGUCUUUACCUAGGUAGGCUAUCACGGGUAACGGGCGGUUACCGUCGGACUGCCGGAGAAGGCGCCUGAGAGAUAGCGACUAUAUCCACGGGUAGCAGCAGGCGCGAAACUUUCCCACUCGAGACUUUCGGAGGAGGUAAUGACCAGUUCCAUUGGUGCCUUUUGGUACUGUGGAUAGGGGUACGGUUUUCCACCGUACCGAAACCUAGCAGAGGGCCAGUCUGGUGCCAGCAGCUGCGGUAAUUCCAGCUCUGCGAGUUUGCUCCCAUAUUGUUGCAGUUAAAACGCCCGUAGUCUGAAUUGGCCAGCAAUGGUCGUACGUAUUUUUACGUUCACUGUGAACAAAUCAGGACGCUUAGAGUAUGGCCACAUGAAUGACUCAGCGCAGUAUGAAGUCUUUGUUUUCUUCCGAAAACAAGCUCAAUGAGAGCCAUCGGGGGUAGAUCUAUCUCAUGACGAGUGGUGGAAUACUUUGACUCAUGAGAGAGAAGCUGAGGCGAAGGCGUCUACCUAGAGGGUUUCUGUCGAUCAAGGGCGAGAGUAGGAGUAUCCAACAGGAUUAGAGACCCUGGUAGUUCCUACCUUAAACGAUGCCGACAGGAGUUUGUCAUUUGUUAAUGGCAGAAUCUUUGGAGAAAUCAUAGUUCUUGGGCUCUGGGGGAACUACGACCGCAAGGCUGAAACUUGAAGGAAUUGACGGAAGGGCACACCAGGGGUGGAGCCUGUGGCUUAAUUUGAAUCUACCCGGGGAAACUUACCAGGACCAGAUGUUUUUUAUGACUGGACGGGCUUUCGGGUCUUUCCAGAAAUUUGUUUUUUGGGGGG
Trichomonas vaginalis G3 is the source of this 1086-nucleotide non-coding RNA. Lineage: Eukaryota; Parabasalia; Trichomonadida; Trichomonadidae. The record is from Rfam.